UACAGAGGUCCCAAGCGUUGUUCGGAUUCACUGGGCGUAAAGGGUGCGUAGGUGGUGAGGAAAGUCGGAUGUGAAAUCUCCGGGCUUAACCCGGAAAUGGCAUUGGAAACUACCUUGCUAGAGGUUUUGAGGGGGGACUGGAAUUCUCGGUGUAGCAGUGAAAUGCGUAGAUAUCGAGAGGAACACCUGCGGCGAAGGCGGGUUGCUGGGCUGACACUGACGCUGAUGCGCGAAAGCUAGGGGAGCGAACGGG
RNAcentral lists this ribosomal RNA (253 nucleotides) under uncultured bacterium. Its description in RNAcentral is "partial 16S ribosomal RNA". It matches the Rfam family "Bacterial small subunit ribosomal RNA", at positions 524 to 776 of the family's 1533-position model. The record is from RNAcentral.